UUGGAGGGCAAGUCUGGUGCCAGCAGUCGCGGUAAUUCCAGCUCCAAUAGCGUAUAUUAAAGUUGUUGCAGUUAAAAAGCUCGUAGUUGAAUUUCGGGGUUAGUAGGUUGGUCAUGCCUCUGGUAUGUACUGGUCUCACUGAUUCCUCCUUCCUGAUGAGCCGUAAUGCCAUUAAUUUGGUGUUGCGGGGAAUUUGGACUGUUACUUUGAAAAAAUUAGAGUGUUUAAAGCAAGCUAACGCUUGAAUACAUUAGCAUGGAAUAAUGAAAUAGGACGUUCGAUCCUAUUUUGUUGGUUUCUAGGAUUGACGUAAUGAUUAAUAGGGAUAGUUGGGGGCAUUAGUAUUCAAUUGUCAGAGGUGAAAUUCUUGGAUUUAUUGAAGACUAACUACUGCGAAAGCAUUUGCCAAGGAUGUUUUCAUUAAUCAAGAACGAAAGUUAGGGGAUCGAAGACGAUCAGAUACCGUUGUAGUCUUAACCAUAAACUAUGCCGACUAGGGAUCGGAUGAUGUUAAUUUUUUAAUGACUCAUUCGGCGCCUUACGGGAAAC
This 549-nucleotide ribosomal RNA is filed under the name uncultured Glomeromycotina. RNAcentral describes it as "SSU rRNA". It matches the Rfam family "Eukaryotic small subunit ribosomal RNA", at positions 548 to 1098 of the family's 1831-position model. The record is from RNAcentral. Lineage: Eukaryota; Fungi; Glomeromycota.